Molecule: non-coding RNA, 236 nt
Organism: Nylanderia fulva
Lineage: Eukaryota; Metazoa; Arthropoda; Insecta; Hymenoptera; Formicidae
Source: RefSeq, a predicted model, not a curated record
CAUAAAGAAAACAGAAAGAGUGGCGACAUAUUGACGCACGUUACUAUUAUGGAUUUUAAGAAAUAAUUAUAUCUGCGUUUUGCCAAAGAAGAUCAUAAAGAAAACAGAAAGAGUGGCGACAUAUUGACGCACGUUACUAUUAUGGAUUUUAAGAAAUAAUUAUAUCUGCGUUUUGCCAAAGAAGAUCAUAAAGAAAACAGAAAGAGUGGCGACAUAUUGACGCACGUUACUAUUAU